This 513-nucleotide ribosomal RNA is filed under the name uncultured bacterium. RNAcentral's name for it is "partial 16S ribosomal RNA". It matches the Rfam family "Bacterial small subunit ribosomal RNA", at positions 28 to 507 of the family's 1533-position model. The record is from RNAcentral.
GACGAACGCUGGCGGCGUGCUUAACACAUGCAAGUCGAACGAAAAGAGGGAAAGAGCUUGCUCUUUCCGGAAUUGAGUGGCAAACGGGUGAGUAACACGUAAACAACCUGCCUUCAGGAUGGGGACAACAGACGGAAACGACUGCUAAUACCGAAUAAGUUCCAAGGGCCGCAUGGCCCAUGGAAGAAAAGGUGGCCUCUACCUGUAAGCUAUCGCCUGAAGAUGGGUUUGCGUCUGAUUAGCUGGUUGGAGGGGUAACGGCCCACCAAGGCGACGAUCAGUAGCCGGUCUGAGAGGAUGAACGGCCACACUGGAACUGAGACACGGUCCAGACUCCUACGGGAGGCAGCAGUGGGGAAUCUUCCGCAAUGGGCGAAAGCCUGACGGAGCAACGCCGCGUGAGUGAUGACGGCCUUCGGGUUGUAAAACUCUGUGAUCCGGGACGAAAAGGCAGAGUGCGAAGAACAAACUGCAUUGACGGUACCGGAAAAGCAAGCCACGGCUAACUACGUG